GAUGAAGAACGCAGCGAAAUGCGAUAAGUAAUGUGAAUUGCAGAAUUCAGUGAAUCAUCGAAUCUUUGAACGCACAUUGAGCCCGCCAGUAUUCUGGCGGGCAGGCCUGUUCGAGCGUCAUUACAACCCUCAGGCCCCCGGGCCUGGCGUUGGGGAUCGGCAGAAGCCCCCUGUGGGCACACGCCGUCCCUCAAAUACAGUGGCGGUCCCGCCGCAGCUUCCAUUGCGUAGUAGCUAACACCUCGCAACUGGAGAGCGGCGCGGCCAUGCCGUAAAACACCCAACUUCUGAAUGUUGACCUCGAAUCAGGUAGGAAUACCCGCUGAACUUAAGCAUAUCAAUAAGCGGAGGA
Molecule: unclassified non-coding RNA, 352 nt
Filed under: soil metagenome
Description: partial contains 5.8S ribosomal RNA, internal transcribed spacer 2, and large subunit ribosomal RNA
Rfam family: 5.8S ribosomal RNA (bases 1-120)
Source: RNAcentral